GUGCUCCCGAAUGUUGGAAGUGCUUCCUGAUUCCUCCUAGGAGCAGGAGCCUCUAUGAUUCCUUUAAAGCCUGCAGAGCCAUGAGCCAGUUCAACAUCUUUUCUUUAUGAUCUUACAGAAAAUUAGUGCUCUGAAGUGGAGGUAUGAAAUGCCUUCAAGGUCUUUUCCUUCUUGUCUUGGUAAUCAGCUCUCAGCUUCUUUUCAUGCAAAUAUCUGUAGCCUGCAUGAAUUUUCCCCCCGUAAAUGGACUUUUCUUCUUUUACCACACUGACAGGCUGCAACAAAGAGAGCUGAAAAUGUAGAAGCAGGUUGAGAAUUGUGUAACAGCCAGAGGUUGGAGAGUUUGGAGGACUUGGAAGAAGACAGGAAGAUGAGGGAAAGUCUGGACCAUUGUAGAGACUUGUUAAAUAGUUAUAAUUAAAAGGGUGACAGAAGGAUGGACAGUAAAGGCCAGGCUUAGAAGGUCUCAGAUGAAAAUGACGAGUUUACUGGGAACAGGAGCCAAGGUUACAUUUGUUUUGCUUUAGCAAAGAAUGUCACUGCAUGAUGCCCCUAACCUGGAGAUCUGUGAAACUUUGAACUUGAGGGUGAUGUUUCGGGUGUAUCCAGCAGAAUGAACUUUUGGCAGCAAAGCUCAAGAGGUGUCCUGUCUGUGUCCUGGUCUUCUGUGUGACCAAAUAAAUGACCUCAGUUAGAAACAUAUUUAAAUGAGAAGCAGAGCUUAAAAGUUUGAAAAAUUUGCAGCCUGGUCAAGUGGUCAAAAAGAAAAGCUGAUUUUCAGUGGGAAAAUUCAAGACAGCUUCAGAAGCUUGCAUAAAAUGGAGCCCAGUGCUAAUAGCCAAGACAACAGGGAAAAGGCCUUGAAGGCAUUUCAGAGACCUUUGCAGCAGCCCUUGCUGUACAGGCCCUGAAGCCUAGGACAGAAGAAUGGUUUUCUAGGACAGAAUGGUUUCCUGGCCCAGCCCCAUGGUCCCCUGCUGUGUGUAGCCUCAGGACACUGCUGCCUACAUCCCUGUAGCUCCUGCUGCAGCCAUGGCUGAAAGAUGCACAGGUACAGCUUGGGUCACUGCUUCAGGGGUGCAAGCUCCAAGCCUUGGUGGCUUCCACAUAGUGUUAAGUCAGCAGGUGCACAGAGCACAAGACUAGAAACUUUGGAGUCUUCAUCUUCUAGACUCCAGAGUAUGUAUGGAAAAUCCUGGGUUUCCAGGCGAAGCUUUUCCAACAGACAGAGCCUCAUGGUAAACCUCUACAAGGAUGGUAUAGAAGGAACAUAUAUGGUGGGAGCCCCCACACUGGGAGGCACCAUUUUCCAGACCCCAGAUUCAUAGACCCACCAACAGCUUGCACCCUUAGUGUUAAAAAGCUGCUGGCACUCAACAGCAGCCCAGCCCAUGAGGGCAGCUUUGGGGAAAGACCUUGCCAUACCACAGGUGCUGAGCUGCCCAAGGCUUUGGGAGACCAGCCAUCAAACCACCCUCUGCUCUGGAUGUGGGAUGUAGAUUCAAAAAAUAUGACAUGGAGCUCUAUGAUGGAAUGAUUGGCCUGCUGGGUUUUUGACUUGCGUGGGGUCUGUAAGUCCCAUCUGUGUUUUGUGCUUCUUUCCGGCAAAUUUCUUCCUUUUGGCUGAGAAUGCUUACCCAAUGGCUGGACAAGCAUUGUACCUUGAAAGUAGUUAACUUGCUUUGUAUUUCAGAGGCUCAGGGAUAGAAGGGACUGCAGCCUUGUCUCAGAUGAGACUUUGGGCUUUGGACAUUUGAGUAAAUGCUGGAAUGAGUUAAGACUUUGGGGGACUGUAGAGAAGGCAUCACUGUAUUUUGCAAAGUGAAAGUAACAUGAGAUUUGGAAGGCCAGGGGCAGAACAAUAGGAUUUGUCUCUGUGCCCCAACCAAAACUCAUGUAGAAUUGUGAUGGGGAAUGUUAAAAGUGGUGCUUGGUAGAUGGUGAUUUAAU
RNAcentral lists this long non-coding RNA (1950 nucleotides) under Homo sapiens (human). RNAcentral's name for it is "HSALNT0148249". Lineage: Eukaryota; Metazoa; Chordata; Mammalia; Primates; Hominidae. The record is from RNAcentral.